GACAGAGGUGCCGAGCGUUAGGCGGAAUCACUGGGCUUAAAGCGUGUGUAGGCGGGCGAUCAAGUACCUUGUGAAAUCCCACGGCUCAACCGUGGAACCGCUGGGUAUACUGGUUGUCUUGAGCCGGCUAGGGGCGAGCGGAACAGACAGGUGGAGCGGUGAAAUGCGUAGAUAUCGUCUGGAACGCCGAAGGUGAAAACAGCUCGCUGGGGCCGCGCUGACGCUGAGACACGAAAGCCAGGGGAGCGAACGGGG
Molecule: ribosomal RNA, 255 nt
Filed under: uncultured bacterium
Lineage: Bacteria
Description: partial 16S ribosomal RNA
Rfam family: Bacterial small subunit ribosomal RNA
Source: RNAcentral